Motacilla alba alba is the source of this 261-nucleotide long non-coding RNA. RefSeq lists it as uncharacterized. Lineage: Eukaryota; Metazoa; Chordata; Aves; Passeriformes; Motacillidae. The transcript is spliced from 2 exons. The record is from RefSeq and is a predicted model, not a curated record.
GGUGCGGCCGAGGGCAGCAAGAACCAAGCGGGAAGCGAGCAGCCGCUCUUCUCCCUGGGCUUUGAGGCCGGCUACGCGCAGGAGCCGCAGCCCGAGGAGUCUCCAGGAAGGCAGCAGAUCUGUUAUUAGGAGCUCAAGUGAAGCAGCAGCUAAGUCAAAGGAGAAAAAGAAAGAGUCAGAGGAAAAAAAAAGGAUUAAGAAACAAACACACACACUCUAAAAAAAAAAAAAAAAAGGGAAAAAAGCGUCAAACAACAACAA